CCUACGGGAGGCAGCAGUGAGGAAUAUUGGUCAAUGGGCGCUAGCCUGAACCAGCCAAGUAGCGUGAAGGAUGACUGCCCUAUGGGUUGUAAACCUCUUUUAUAUGGGAAUAAAGUGCAGUAUGUAUACUGCUUUGCAUGUACCUUAUGAAUAAGGCUCGGCUAACUCCGUGCCAGCCGCCGCGGUAAUACGGAGGAUUCGAGCGUUAUCCGGAAUUAUGUGGGUUAAAGGGAGCGUGAGGGGGUUGUUAAGUCAGUUGUGAAAAUUUGCGGCUGAAACGUAAGAUUGCAGUUGAUACUGGCAUCCUUGAGUACAGUAGAGGUAGGCGGAAUGCGUGGUGUAGCGGUGAAAUGCUUAGAUAUCACGAAGAACUCCGAUUGCGAAGGCAGCCUGCUGGACUGUAACUGACGCUGAGGCUCGAAAGUGUGGGUAUCAAACAGGAUUAGAUACCCUUGUAGUC
This 460-nucleotide ribosomal RNA is filed under the name uncultured bacterium. RNAcentral describes it as "partial 16S ribosomal RNA". It matches the Rfam family "Bacterial small subunit ribosomal RNA", at positions 338 to 795 of the family's 1533-position model. The record is from RNAcentral.